UGUGGCCUUUCUUUUUUGUUGGUAGCUUUGUUGUGGCCAUUCGGACAGCUUGGGCAUUUUUCUGUUUAUCAAAAGUAACUACUAGAAAAUCAUACUAAUUGUCAAGUAAAUAGUAAUAUAGUAACAAUACAAUAAGUUACUUGCCGAGUCAUAAAUGAUGCCUUGGAUACCAACAAUGAGACAAUUCUGUAUUAUGUCACAAAUAAAUACCAAUAACUUUUCAUGUUUUCCCACUGAAAAGUAAAAUAUUGUUCUUAGUUAUGUAUAUAGUUCAUCCAUUAGCAAUUUUGCUGUGUUUGUUGUGUUGUAGGGAUACCACUUCAUUAGGUUGUUGAAAAUAUGUAAUAAUGCCCAUUUCUCAUAAACUGUAAGUUUAAUACGCACUCAAAAAUAUAUGAGUAUUAUAAUCAAUUUUCAGGAAUAAAACUAAAAAAAAGUUUCUAUGGAUUUCAUUUAGCUAACACAAUCAUUUACUCCUUAAAAGGACUUUUCUUGUCAUUUUAAUGGAAUUUUGGGCUAUCUUAAAAAAUAUUAACUCGUUGAUUGAUAUUUGUCGCACUUUGUAGAUCAACUGGCUAAAAUUCAUUUUUUAUGUUUUCAUUGGCAUAGUUCAAUAUUAGUUAACUACAUUCAUGUUUUAAACUUAAACAGUUAAAUUAAAUCUUUUUACAUGAUCAAAGUCAAAAGAUAUACGGUUGAUGUUGAAUUUGUUUGUAUGAUUAAAAAAAAUAUAUACUCCUUCAUCCCAUAGAAAUAUGCCAUAUUUCCUUUUUCGUCCGUCCGAUACAAAUAGUCACAUAUCCAUUUAUGGCAACGUUUUUCUCCUUCUUUUUUACCUUUUCAUUUAGGGGCCCACCAUCCAGUACACAAUUUCAACUACUUUUUCUCCUUCUCUCUUAUUUUACCAAUUAUACAUUAAAACCCGUGUCAACCCUAAAUGACCUAUUUAUAUGGGACGGAGGGAGUAUAUUGGUUUUUUCUAUUAUUUGAAGCCCAUCCAGUAUGUGUUUAAAAAUUUAAACUAUGCUUAGAUAACAAAAGUGCUCCCUUCAUCCCAUGAAGAAGACAUCUUCCUUAGGAAACGAGAUUUUAUUUAAUGUUAUUUUGUACUAUGUUAAAUGGAGAGAAUAAAAAAAGAUAAAUAGAAUAAAGUAGAGAUAAAAAGUGUCUUAUUUAUAGUAAUAAGUUAUUUUGAUUGAGACUGACUAAAAAGAAAGUUAGUCAUUUUUACUGGGACGGAGGAAUUACAAAACAACAACCACCGUAUUAAAACUCUCAUUUCAUUUCAUUGAAAUUUUACAUUUUUAAAUGGCUGAAAAUAUUUCUUAGUUUUUCAGUUGAACUUCUAUAUAUGAGAGUAUUAAUUUUGAUUAAUUUUGUGGUUUAUAAUAAUAGUCUUAUAAAUCUUUUCACUAUAAGUAGCCUAUAUUUUUAAUAAGCGAUAAAAUGUUAUAAGGUAUAAAUUGUAAUGGGGCACAAACAAUAUUCUGGUAUGACAAGUGGAUGAAGGAGAGAGCUUUAAAAUUAUUUUUCCAAGGCUUUUCAUGUUGUCAAUCCAGAUAAACAAGCUCAUUGAGGAGAUGAGAGUUUAGGAGAAUCAAAAUUGGAGAUGGGUCUUGAAAUGCUCAUUGAGGAGAUGAGAGUUUAGGAGAAUCAAAAUUGGAGAUGGAUCUUGAAAUGGAGGGGAAAUCUUUUUACUUGGGAGGUUACUUGACGUAUUGACAACAUGAGCACAACGAAAAACCAAGGAUGUCUUGCUUGGAAAAACGUUGUCCCACCACGAGUAAUCUUUUAUGCUUGGUUUGUCAUUCAGGGAAGACUCAACACCAAAAUUAGGUUUCGCAUAUUUUGUACCCAGAACUUGAAGAUGAUAAGUAUGUUUUAUGCAAAGAAGAGUAAGAGAGCCUGGAGCAUAUCAUUUUUAGCCGUAAAGUACCUUGUGGUCUCUGGUACUUUUGUGAGCGGUGGAAUAUCUCUUUUUUUGCAUUCUCAAGGAACCAAUGGUGUGCUUCAUCGCUUACAUGAACACUCCUCUACUCAAGUUUGACAAAAACUUUGGAGCUUUAUGUCAUUGCUUUGUCAAUUUGGAGGAAUAAUGUCAUUUUCAAGGAUUGUAACCGAAUUGGGAGCUCGAAAUAUAAGACUUAUUUGGAGCCUUAGAUCAUGAAUUAAAAGUUGGUGUCCGAAUUUCAGCAUCCGAAUAGAGUCCUUCACCAACGACUUAAGCGAUCUCAAAAGUUGAACCUAGCUAGGGUAACGUGUUUGUUUCCUUGAAUAUGUUUGCUAUCUUCCAAACUGAUGGGCUGCUCUUUUGCCUUUAGGCUUUUAUGUUUGCUUUGUUGUUUCUUGAAUUUAUGAAUUAGAUAUUAGCUGUUAAUUUUAUUUAUUUUUGUUA
Molecule: long non-coding RNA, 2395 nt
Organism: Salvia splendens (bonfire salvia)
Lineage: Eukaryota; Viridiplantae; Streptophyta; Magnoliopsida; Lamiales; Lamiaceae
Exons: 2
Source: RefSeq, a predicted model, not a curated record